CGGCGAGUGAAGCGGCAACAGCUCAAAUUUGAAAGCUGGCCCUUUUAGGGUCCGCGUUGUAAUUUGUAGAGGAUGAUUCGGCGAGGGCUCCUGCCUAAGUCCCCUGGAACGGGGCGUCAUAGAGGGUGAGAAUCCCGUAUGCGGUAGGUUGCCUUAGCCAUGUGAAUCUCCUUCGACGAGUCGAGUUGUUUGGGAAUGCAGCUCUAAAUGGGAGGUAAAUUUCUUCUAAAGCUAAAUACUGGCCAGAGACCGAUAGCGCACAAGUAGAGUGAUCGAAAGAUGAAAAGCACUUUGGAAAGAGAGUUAAAAAGUACGUGAAAUUGUUGAAAGGGAAGCGCUUGCAACCAGACUUGUCCGCAGUUGCUCAGCCGGUCUCCUGACCGGCGUACUCUUCUGCGGCCAGGCCAGCAUCAGUUCGGGCGGUCGGAUAAAGGCCUCGGGAAUGUAGCUCCUCUCGGGGAGUGUUAUAGCCCGGGGUGGAAUGCGACCAGCCUGGACUGAGGAUCUCGCUUCGGCAAGGAUGCUGGCGUAAUGGUUGUAAGCGGC
RNAcentral lists this ribosomal RNA (546 nucleotides) under Lasiodiplodia pseudotheobromae. Its description in RNAcentral is "eukaryotic LSU rRNA". It matches the Rfam family "Eukaryotic large subunit ribosomal RNA", at positions 87 to 648 of the family's 3401-position model. The record is from RNAcentral. Lineage: Eukaryota; Fungi; Ascomycota; Dothideomycetes; Botryosphaeriales; Botryosphaeriaceae.